ACGCUCGACACCUACGGGAGGCAGCAGUGGGGAAUAUUGCACAAUGGGGGAAACCCUGAUGCAGCGACGCCGCGUGAAGGAAGAAGUAUCUCGGUAUGUAAACUUCUAUCAGCAGGGAAGAAAAUGACGGUACCUGACUAAGAAGCCCCGGCUAACUACGUGCCACAGCCGNGGUAAUCUGAGCGGCUGGCAAGGC
Molecule: ribosomal RNA, 196 nt
Filed under: uncultured bacterium
Lineage: Bacteria
Description: partial 16S ribosomal RNA
Rfam family: Bacterial small subunit ribosomal RNA
Source: RNAcentral